This 1156-nucleotide unclassified non-coding RNA is filed under the name Hevea brasiliensis (rubber tree). Lineage: Eukaryota; Viridiplantae; Streptophyta; Magnoliopsida; Malpighiales; Euphorbiaceae. The record is from RNAcentral.
AAUUUUAAAAGUGAAUUAAAUAAUUUUAAAAUUUAAAUAUUGUCACAUUACGGAAAAUAAAUAUAAUAUUACAAAGGUCCAUAAAUAAAAAUUAGCAAUUGUGGAUAAGCUGAGGAUAGGGCUACAAACAACAUUCAUUCAUUCAUCCAAUGAAAAUGGCAGAAGCUUGACACCUCAUCAACUACAACCACUAGUUUGCAAGCAAUAGAUACUCCUUUAGGCUUUAGCUUUAGCUCUGUUUCCGCAAAUUUGUAGAUUCCUCUGUAGAGGCAUAGGCACCUUUACCAAAAACAAUCAAAUGGCUUCUCCAAUGGCCAGCCAACUCAAGAGCAGCUUUGCCUCAUCUGUAGUUACCAGGGCCCUGGUUGUUCCCAGAGGCAUUUCUGGAGCUCAUUCGGAGUCUCACCCGCCAAGAGAUCCUUCACAGUCAAGGCCGUUCAGGCUGAGAAGGUAACUAGUGCUUGCCUUCUUCUACUUUGUGCUACUUUUACUUGGUAUUCAUUGAGAAUGGUAGAGGAAAGCUGUACUGAUAAAUUUGUUUGAUUCUGAAGCCCACUUUUCAAGUGAUUCAACCAAUCAAUGGAGACCCCUUCAUAGGAAGCCUAGAGACUCCAGUAACAUCAAGCCCAUUUAUAGCCUGGUACCUCUCCAAAUUACCAGCCUACAGAACAGCAGUGAGUCCACUGCUCAGGGGAAUUGAGGUGGGGCUGGCCCACGGGCUAUUGUUGGUAGGCCCAUUUGUGAAGGCAGGUCCAUUGAGGAACACAGAGUAUGCAGGAGCAGCAGGGUCAUUGGCAGCAGGAGGACUAGUUGUGAUUCUGAGCAUAUGCUUGACAAUGUAUGGAAUAGCUUCAUUCAAUGAAGGAGUGUCAUCAACAGCACCUAGCCUUACCUUGACUGGAAGAAAGAAGGAGCCUGACCAGGUACAAACAGCUGAUGGUUGGGCCAAAUUCACUGGAGGGUUUUUCUUUGGUGGAAUUUCUGGUGUCAUUUGGGCUUACUUUCUUCUCUAUGUCCUCAACCUCCCUUACUUUGUUAAGUAGAGGGUUUUCAAUAGUUUUGUUUAUGUGAAUUGUCUCUCUCUCAAUCUCUCUGUCAAUGUAUAUCAUCUGCCUGUCUGGCUUUAGACAUUUGCAAAUGAAAACUGCUUAUCUGU